UUUUUUCCUAAUAUUUAUUGUUUUAUUUGGUCUCACAUAUCAAUUUAGGUUAAUGGCCGUUAAUCAUGUUUCUCUUGGUUUGCACUCAUUUUUCUUAUUAUGGUUUCCACGUCACUAACAAUAUGAUUGCUCUAGUUGAUAAAAUUACUUUUGAGUUACAGAUGAGAGAACUUAAAAAUCUUGUCAACGAAGGUAAAAUAAAAUAUAUUGGAUUGUCUGAAGCUAGCCCAGACACAAUAAGGAGGGCUCAUGCAGUUCAUCCCAUUACUGCUAUUCAAAUGGACUAUUCCCUUUGGAUCCGUGACAUCGAAGAUGAAAUAAUUCCGCUUUGCAGGUUUCCCAUAUUUCUCAAAUAUAUAUUGUUAUUCCUAUUCUAAUAUUAUAAUCUCAGAUAGCGUUUCUUCUUUUCUCUUUGGAAAUGGAUUAUAGGGAACUUGGGAUUGGAAUAGUUCCUUACAGUCCCUUGGGUCGAGGAUUUUUUGCUGGGAAGGUCGUAGUGGAAAACGUGGAAAAUAGCUCAUUGGUGUGUAUGCAUAUAUAUCUUUUUUAUUUUCAAUGCACAAGACUUUAGUGUCCAGGAUCGCUUAGUAGUUCCGUUACUUUUUUAAUCUCUAGUUGCUGAAAAAUUGGUUAAUUUCGUACUGUCAGACAAGUCACCCAAGACUUCAGGGAGAGAACUUUGAUAAGAACAAAGUUCUAUAUUUUCGUAUAGAAGCAUUGGCUAAGAAGCAUGGAUGCACUCCUGCUCAACUUGCUCUUGCAUGGGUUCUUCAUCAAGGAGAUGAUGUCGUACCAAUUCCAGGUGAGCCAUUUAUAUAAAAAUCUUUGCUCUAAAUACUGUAAUAGAAACCAUGUUGGACAGAUUGGAAAUGGAGAUUAUUAAAGAAAUUGGAGCUAUAUGUUUAGAAAACUUUGCUGUUGAGCUCACAUUAUAUUCAAAUUGAAACGUUUCUUUUGUCUCUGAGUAUUAGAAUAUUCAUAUCCAGAAGUAUGUAGACAGAAAUCAUCUUGGAGAUGUGUGCAUUCAGCUGUUCUGAUUAGUUUAGAUCCUUAAUAAUGAUUUGAACUGGAAUUGUAACAUGGACUAUACUGAAACAGCCAUUUGAACUAAUUAAAUGGGCGGCCUCAUGUGAUUCAGUUCAGUGUGAAUUCAGUUAGUUUAAGUAUUGGGCAAAGGGAAUUUUGGAGAUUUAUAGUUCCCUCAUCAGUUUGGUCGGGAGUAUCAACACGAUAACCUCCUUUGGCCCCUCUCCCAUUUCUUUAAAAAUAUUGGAAGUGCCUAUUUUAGAAUCUUGCCUCUCUUCCGCCAGUGAACACAAACAGGCUCACGAAGAGAGGGAGAACCCCCCCCACGUAAACAGGUUUGAGGAGUGUUAACUUUGCCACCACAUUGAUUUCUAGAGCUAAUGACUAUUGGCCCGUUUGGUAUGGCAGUGUUUGGAGAAAGAAAGCUGAAUUUUUGUUUGGAAACUAAUUUUCAAAAUUGUUUCCUGUUCUGGAAGUGCUUUUAGAGAGAUACAUUGGACCAGCUUCCUCUAUAAGCAUUUUUAACUACAGGAAGCGCCAUUUUGGCCAUCUAUUCCUUGGUAGAAACUAGAAAGAGCUGGAUCAUUAAGUUGGAUUAUAUCAAAACUAGUUUACGCAGAUCAUUCCACUUAUUCAAAUAAUAACAUGAAGUUUGGUCCAGUCUCACCUUCCUCCUUGGGGAUCUAUAUACUGUAAUAUCAUUAGGUAAGAUUUUGAUAAGAAUUUGGUGUACUUAAGCUUUUUAUCUCUGGAAAAUUAUUAUCAUUUGUAGAUGCUGUAAGAAUUUUUCCCAGAAAUCAAUGUUGUAGAUGGUGAUUGAAAUCUCACGAAUUGCAUUUGUUUCAAUGAUGAUUUAACUUUCAAUCUUGUAAUAUUUGUAGGUACAACUAAAAUUAAGAAUCUCCACUCCAACAUUGAUUCUCUGAAACUGAAGCUGACAAAAGAUGAUUUGAAAGAAAUUACCGAUGCGGUUCCCAUCAACGAAGUAGUAGGGUCGAGAAGUCAAAAUGAGGCUUUUCAUAAGAUCACAUGGGAAUUUGUGAACACACCACUCCCAGAAUGAACCAGCAGAUAAUUAUUAGCGUGUGAUGUUUUGAAAAAAUUGAAGUUUUAGUCGUGUCGAUAUUUCAUGUGGUCUUGUCAGCGUACUUUUACUAGUUAUCCAACUUUCACUAGUUUGUGUGUAUCUAGAUCAAAAGUAAUAUAUCGCAUGGCUAUUGAAUAAUUGAACAUCUUUUUGUUUUUUAUUCUCUUUGAUAAACAUCCUAUAUAAGAUCACACGGGAAUUAGUGAACACUCCACUCCUAGAAUGAGCUAGCAAAAUGUUUCGAUAUUUGAUGUAAUUUUGUCCGCAUAUUUUUGCUAGUUAUCCAACUUUCAGUGGCUUGUGUGGAUGUAAAUCAAAAGUACUCCACUCCUAUGAUGAACAAGCAAAUUGGAUAAUUAUUAGUAUGUGAUGUUUUGAAAAAAUUGGAGUUUUAAUUGUGUCGAUAUUUGAUGUAGUUUGUUUUGCAUACUUUUACCAGUUAUCCAACCUUUACUAGUUUGUGUGGAUGUAGAGCAAAAAUAAUAUAUCGUAUGGCUAUUGAAUAAUUGAACCUGUUUUUGUUUUUUUGUUUAUUUUAUUUUAUUUUUCUUUGAUAACCAUCCUACAUAAGAUCACAUGAGAAUUUGUGAAUACUCCACUUCUAGAAUGAACCAGCAAAAUGGAUAAUUAUUAGCGGGGUGUUUUGAAAAAAUUGAGGUUUUAGUGGGGUCGAUAUUUGAUGUAGUUUUGUUUGCAACUUUUAUUAGUUAUCCAACUUUCACUAGCUUUUGUGGAUGUAGAUCGGAAGUAAUAUAUAACAUGGUUAUUGAAUAAUUGAACCUCUUUUUGUUUUUUGUUUUUUCUUUGAUAACCAUCCUAUGGUCAUCUUGAUAAUCAAAUUGUUUUCUAGAUGUAUUGUCCUUUUAUUAGUGUGUGAUGUUUUGAAGAAAUUGGAGUUUUAGUCUUGUCGAUAUUUGAUGUAGUUUUGUCUACAUACUUUUAUUGGUAAUCCAACUUUUCACUAGCUUGUGUGGAUGUAGAUCGGAAGUAAUAUAUCGCAUGGUUAUUGAAUAAUUGAACCUUCGUUGUUUUUUAUUAUCUCUUUGAUAACCAUCCUAUGUUCGUCUUGAUAAUCAAAUUGUUUUCUAGGCGUACUAUCCUUUUGUCUGAGUAGAGUUGCUAUCUAUGUAGCUUGUGGGCACAUGCCUAAUGGUGUUAAACUGAGUAGAAGAAAAGAUUCAAAAAUUAAUGCUUACCGGUUCUUUGGGGUUAUAUGUCCAAAUGGGAAAAUUACAGUGGUGGCCCUCUGUCUUUGGACUGUUUAGACAACUCUUCAUCACAAUUUUAGUUUAUAACUAAUGGUAUUUUUGAAAUGCUAGAUAUUGGAUGUUAUUACACUAGAUAUUAGACAGUAUUUUGUGGCAUAUUUGUAUUGGGUUAAUAAGGUGUUUAAAUAUGUAUUUGGUGACACAUUUAUUUUCUAUAAAAUAUAGGUGAAAUAAUUGAAAUAAUUUGUAUUGUUGACUCACGAUUUUUUGUCAUUGGUGGAAUUGAACCCAAUUCAAAUCGACAAUUUGAUUAUAAUAAUUACGUGGAUCCAAACGGUUUUGUUUAUGAAAUAUCAAAUUGUAGUGGGUGAUUUUGAGCAUUAAAAUACUUGAAUUCAUCCACCCGACACCUAAGCCUUAUCACUCGGAUCCAGUUGAUUUAUUUCAGUUAUACAUUUUCAAAAAAUAAUGAUAUUAUACAUGAUUUUAAAAUUUUUGUUCUUUUUUUAUUACACAUUUUCAAAAUAAAAUAAAUAAAUAAAUAAAAUAAAAAAUCUCUAUUUCAAAAUGCACACGCACGCGCGCGCGCACGCACACAAAAUUUUUCAAAAUGGAAUACUUAUACGCACACAUAUAUGGAAUACAUAUUCCAUUUGAAAAAAUUAUAAUUUUUCAAAAUUUAUUUUAGUUAUUCAUUUUUCGAAAAAAUAAUGAUAUUGCAAUAAUUUUAAAAAUUUUAUUCUUUUUUAAUCACAUAUUUAAAAAUAAAUAAAUUAAUAAAUAAAAUAAAAUAAUCUCUAUUUCAAAACACAUCUUCUCAGACAAUUGCAUUUUAAUGAAGCCCAGCGACUGAAUAUUGCUGUUCAUCAUUUAUAACGUGGAGGCAUUGCUUACUUCAAAGAAAGAGCUCGAAGAAUGAAGAAAAAGAGCUUCAAAAAUAUAAUUUUUCAAAAUUUACAGCUUGUUUGACGGUGAUGUUAAGUCAAUUAAAAUCAAAUUUUUUUUUACAGUUAUUUUACUAUUUCAACCGUUGUUUUUGAAUUCUUUUCUCACAGCUAGAAUUCACUUUAUCUCUAUCGGUCAAAAAAUCAAUUCUCAAAAUCUCUACCAAACAAGCACUUAUUUCAAUUAUACAAUUUAAGAAAAAAUAAUGAUAUUACACACACACACACAUGUACAUACAUAUAUAAUACCCAAAAUUUUAAAUUUUCUGUUCUUUUUCAUUUACUUACUUAUCUAUUUUUUGGGAAUGUGUGAUAAAAAAGAAGGGAAAAUUGCAGCCGAGAUACCAAACAUUUCGUUUAUUAGCAGACUUUGCCCAAACCUUUAGUUUGUGCUACCGGAGGUACCAAACCUUUCAAAAAUCUGCACCCGAAGUCCAAAUGGAUGGAAACCGUCCGUUUGACCGUUAGUUGACCAAUAAAAUUAAACAUUGACCAAUUUUUGACUAAUUGAAAAGGGUAAAAAAGUAAAAGUACUUAACCCUAUAAUAAAACAAUUAAAAUAAAUAACUAAAGCAAAAAAAAAUACUAUUCAUCUCCUUCUUCACCCUACCCCACCCCCACCCCCACCCCAUCCAAACCAUACUGUAAACUAUAAAAUGUAAACUAUUCUCUUCCUCCUUCCAAUACACGAGUGAGUGCGUGUGAGUGAGAGUUUUAAUUUAUUCUGGAAAAUGUAUAAUUGAAAUAAAUUUUGAAAAAUUAUAUUUUUGAAAAAAUGAAACAUAAACAGUCGUUCUUUGGCUUACUUUAAAAUUAACAAAAAAAAUAUAUAAUUGAAUGAUGUACCAUAUUAUCAAUAUUUGACGUAAGCUAAACACAAUUACUUGGGAGAUAAUUUUUAUAUAUACAUUAUAUACACACGUACAUAUAUCAAACGCAUUUUAAAAAAAAAAGCCCCGUGGCUGAAUAUUGCUGUUCCUCAUUGAUAACGUGGACGCACUGCUUAGUUCAAAGAAAGAGCUCGAAGAAUGAAGAAAAAGAGCUGGGUCCUGGGGGCUUCCAGAGUUUUCAGAGCUGGGUCCUGGGGACUUCCAGAGUUUUCCUUUCAUAUACAUAUAUUUACGCCAAUUCCAGUGGCUUCAACUUACUGGAACUUGAAGAGGCGCUGCUUAGUUCGAGGAAAAUUAGCAAUGGCCGAACAAUUUGAGAUGCCACGAGUGAAACUGGGAACCCAAGGACUUGAGGUAUAUGUUACAAUUACUUAAUUCAAUUUGGGAUUCGAUUCAAUUUGUAGAUAAUGCAAUGAUCUUCAAAGAAUGUAUCCUAAAUCUCAUUGCUUUAUCCAAUGACAUGUUUUUCCCUCCUAGGUAUCAAGGCUAGGUUAUGGUUGUAUGGGGCUUUCAGGUAUCUACAAUAAUCCUGUCCCUGAGGAAGAAGGAAUUGCAAUAAUCAAAGAGGCAUUUAAUAAAGGAAUUACGUUCUUUGACACAUCGGAUGCUUAUGGCAUGAACCAUGCCAACGAGUACUUGGUGGGGAAGGUAGGUACUUUGCUAAGAAAAUUAUUCUUGAUUAUGGCUGUACUUUUGCUUCCUUUGUAAUUGAAAGUUGAUGUGAAUGACGAUAAUGAUAUUAUAAGGAAUCAAGCUGAUCUAAAUGAGGCUCCAUUUUUUUACAUUUAACUCUGGGUUAAUAAAAACAUUUAGAGGAGUCUUUGUUACUAAAAGUGAGCAAGGGAAAUAUGAGAAUUUUAAAGAAGUGGUUCCCAGGGUGAUUUAAGAGGCAGACUCUUCUAUCAAUUGAUGUAGAUAUGUUUAUAACAAAGAAACUAUGGUGUUUGUUAUUUGUACAUCAUCUUAAUAUCUCAACUGAGGAUAUUUAGAUAUGUAUUUAUGUUAGAAACAUUCUUUGCCAAUUAGAUUAUCAUGUAAGGUUUCAUUAGUUAAACUAUAGACAUGGGUGCAAUGAUUCGAUUAUGUAAACGUUCAAAUUGAUUGUUCCAAUUGUAAUUAAAAAUUAAGUGAUGAGUUCAAACGGAAUGAAAUUUCACGAUCAAAUCAAAUGUCGCUAAAGUUCAAUAAUUGCGCAUAUCAACAUGAUUCCGUUUUGACUUUUUCCUCUCCAUUAAACAUUUCUAGUCCUUGGUUUGGCUGCCAACAUCUUAAGGAAUAACUAGGAAUUUGUUUUGUUUAAAGACAAUGCUGGACAGAAAAAGUGAAACAUACUCCUCAACUUCAAGAGAUCAUUCCCAUUGAUGACCUAUUGAUUAGGGCAUUGCUGUUAUUUUGGUCAAAAGUUAUAAUUCGUCAUACUAGUAUAUUUCAUUAUAUAAUACAUAAAAUUAAUCAAGUUUGAAAAUUAGUCUGAAGCACACUUCCUUUAGAUCAUCUUAUAUUUCAAACAUAUACAUUGUUUACUCACUUAACGAGAAUGUUUCAAUACCAAGUUGUACAUGAGACGUCAAUCUUUGAUAUCAACUGAUGUAAAGUAUUGUCCAUGAGCUGUAACUCAUGGAAGAUGUGCAGUAUAUCAAUAUUACCCAGAAUAAAGCUUGAGAAUCUACCCCGAAGUCCACUUCUUUUGAACGAAUUCUCACUUCAAACAUUCUCUUGUAGUACCUAUUUAGUUUUUAUUUUUUUAAGAAUGAAUUUAGGUAAAUAUGUGUAAUAAAAUUUUAACCUACUCAUAUACUUCAUGUCGUUUUCUUUUACAUUGACAAACUGCUUGCUUCUUGUGAUUCACCUUUUCUUUUAUGUUGUACCGUUUCUAUCAUAUUGUGCUUUCUUGACCUUUUAUAUUGCAUACUUUGGAAGAGUGUAAGAGAACUGUUUAGCGGUUUGACAGAUCUUUAGCUACUACUGAUUUCAUAUUAAGAAACAUACAAGAAACAUAAAAAAGGAAGGCAGGAAAGCCGCACAAAAAAUGAUUGUAAAGUUGGGAGCUAGUAUGAGAGUGAAGAAAGAGAUGAAAUGAGAAAGAUAAUGUUAUUAUCAAUAAAGUAAAAUUAGACAUUUUAGUUUUAAAAGACUUUUUCAACCAAAAAAAAAUGAAAAUUACUUUGUUUUUCUUUAUCGCUAGUUAAGGAGUGUUUUGACAAAUUGAGCAAGAAGAAAAAACUCACCAUUGUCCAUAUACCAAUACAAGAAACCAUAAAAAUUUGUUAUUUGUACAUCAUUGUAUACACAACGGUAUACAAAUUGAUGACAUGGAAGAGAAAGAAAGAUUAUAAUAACUGAAUUUCUUUUCUUUCAGUCUCUUUUUUUCGCUCUUUUUUCAUGUUAUCUAUCUGUACAUCAUUAUGUACACAGUGAUGUACAAAUAACAUUAUUCUAUUUGUAGACUGUUGAUCAAAUUGUAUGAAUUAGGCCCCAUUUGAGCUCCACUAAUUUGAAGUAAUGUGUUAUGGAAUGGUGAUUGAUGGAGAAUGUGUGAUGAAAAAAGAAUUGAAAAGUUUUUGAUUAGCAUGAAGUAUUAUUUUAAUAAAUGUGUGGUUGAAAAUGAAUACUGUAGAACAAAUAAUGGGAAAGAAUGUAGAAGAAUGAGGUUUAAUUCCUGUCUCAGUACUUUGCCUUACCCAUGCCUUUUUAAAUUAUCAUAUUAAUUUAUGUAUCAAUACUAUUUUCUAACGUUGUAUUCAUGCCUUUUGAAAUUAUCAUAUUAAUUCGACUUAAUGUAAUGCAUGAGCUUUUUAGUAGUCACCUUUGAGUUAUCUUAACAAAAGAUAUUUAAAUUUUGUAGGCACUAAAGCAGUUACCUCGAGAAAAGGUUCAAUUAGCUACAAAGUUUGGUGUAGCAGGAUUUGAUGCUUCUGGUGUCAUAGUGAAAGGUUCACCUGAAUAUGCUCGCUCUUGUUGUGAAGCUAGUCUGAAGCGUCUUGAUGUGGAUUAUAUCGAUCUUUACUAUAUACAUCGAAUUGAUAAUACUGUGCCAAUUGAAUACACUGUGAGUUUUUUAAUUUUUUAAUGAUUUUACUUGGUGUCGUGUAUCCAUUCUUUAAGUGGCCAUUAACCAUGUUUUCACUUGGCUUGUACUCCUUUUUUUAUCAUGCUUUCCAUUUUACUAACAUGUUUGCUCUUGUUGAUAAAAUUGUAUAUAAAUUGCAGAUGGGAGAACUUAAAAAGUUGGUCAAAGAAGGUAAAAUAAAAUAUAUUGGGUUGUCUGAAGCUAGUCCAGACACAAUAAGGAGGGCUCAUGCAGUUCAUCCUGUUACUGCUAUACAAAUGGACUAUUCCCUUUGGGUUCGUGACAUCGAAGAAGAAAUAAUUCCACUUUGCAGGUUUUUCAUAUUUCUCUAAUAUUUUUGUUGUAACCCUAUUACAAUUUCAGUUGACUCUCUUGGCAAUUAUGUACUUAAAUUGUAACUUAAGGGCUGAUAUUUGAAUUUGAAAUUAAUUUUGCACAACCUCAUCCUAGGAUUAACAUUACAAUGUUGAGCUCCUAUUUUCUAUUAUAAAACUCCAUGUUUUUGUAUUUUUUUUAUUCCUGAAGUUUGCAUUAUUUUUUCUUCCUGAAGUUGAAACUACGAUUAGUUAGAUUUUUGAUCAUUGUGCUUAUAAUAAAAACAGAAAAUAUUUUCCUCCUCUAUCAAUUCUUGAACACCCUGAUUCAUUCUCUUUCAACUACUACGCUUCAAGUUUCUGUAGUUUUUCAUCUUAUUGUUAUGCUUCAUGUUCGGAGAUUAUGAUCUCAUAUAUUGUUUCUUCUUUUUUUUUUUUGGAAAUGGAAAAUAGGGAACUUGGAAUUGGAAUAGUUCCAUACAGUCCCUUAGGUCGAGGGUUUUUUGCUGGGAAGGCCAUCGUGGAAAGUGCAGAUCCAAAUAGCUCUUUGGUGUGUGCAUCUAUAUAUUUUAGAUUUCAUUGCGUAAUAUCUUAUUUAGUAUCCAGGAUCAUGUAGUAGUAUCUUCACUUUUGUAAUCUCCUGUUGAUGAGAAGUUGUUUAAUUUUCGUACCGUCAGACAAGUCACCCAAGGCUUCAGGGAGAGAACUUUGAUAAGAACAAAGUCCUAUAUUUUCGUAUAGAAGCGUUGGCUAAGAAGCAUGGAUGCACUCCUGCUCAACUUGCGCUUGCAUGGGUUCUUCAUCAAGGAAAUGAUGUUGUACCUAUUCCAGGUUAGUCAAUCAUGUAAAAGCCUUAGCGUUAAAAACUAUAGUAGAAACCAUGUUUGACGGAUUGGAAAUGUAGAGUAUUAAAGAAAUUGGAACUAUCUGUUUAAAAAUCUUUGCUGUUACCCUCACAUCAUAUUUAUAUUGAGGCAUUUAAUUCGUUUUUAUGAGCGUAAGAAUAUUCAUAUUAAAAGUAUAUCAAUGUGGAUUGUCUUGGAGAUUUGUGAAUUGAACUGGAAUUGUGACUUAGACUAAGCUAAACGCCAAUUGAAACCAGCCAACCCUCCCCUCCCUGUUUUUCGCUGUAAAAUUGGAAGUCUCUAUUUAGCAUCCCCAUGAAUUUCAGGUACCCUCAUUAUGGAUGGGGUUGAAAACCAACAUUCUUUUUCAUAGAUAUCUAAUUACGUAACUCCUUUUCUUUUUACCCUUUCUUUCAAGGAAAUGGAAGGGAUAGAAUGAGAGUAAAAUUAUCGCAUGCUCGUGCAGUUUUUUGUUAAUUCAGGAUUAUGAGAUGGGAAAGAAACAGAGGUCUCGUCACACGUGAAUAACUGUACAAAUAUGCCUAUAAUAUUGGAGUAUGAGAUGAUCGUCCCUGCCCUUUGGAAGUUCAUGUACUUGAGUAUGAGAUGAUCAACCUUUCCCUCGUCUUUCAUGAGUCUUUUAGUUUCUUAUUUAGAUAUCAGUAUGCUUCUUGGAGGUGUCGAGAUAUACAUACGAGCUUGUAAAUCUCUUCAGAGUUAUUUUUCUCUUAAUUUUCCACCAUAUUUAUGUGCGUAGGCCUUAUAAUUAACAGCCAUUUGGGCCAUUUCACCCUAGAUAGGGAGAUUAGGAAAGACGGAUCGUUAAGUGAGAUUACUCUGGAAAAUUGUUAUUAUUUGCAGAUGCUGUAAAAUAAUUUUCUCCGAAAUCAUACAUGCAAUGGAUGCCAGUGAAAUGUGCAUUAUAUCGAUAUCAUGAAUUUGAUUGUUUUUAAUGAUAAUUUAUCUUGCCAAUCUUGAAAUAUUGGUGUAGGUACGACCAAAAUUAAGAAUCUUCACGAUAAUAUUGGUGCUCUGAAAGUGAAGCUUACAAAAGAAGAUUUGAAAGAGAUUACUGAUGCGGUUCCCAUCAAUGAAGUAGCUGGGAUGAGAAGUUCUAAUGAUGCUUUUCAUCGGAUCACGUGGGAAUUUGUGAGGACACCACUCCCAAAAUGAACCAGUUAAAUGGAUAAUAUUUGUAUAUUAUGUUUUGAAAGAUCUUUGUCGUAGUUGUGUUGAUAUUUCCCGCAGUUUCCUUUGCACACUUCUAAUUCCCUUUUGUACUUUUCCCAUGUCAUUAGCUUGUGUUGCUGAUCACGAAUAAUAUAUUGCGUGGCUAUUUAAUAAUUGAACCCUUCUCUUCUUUUUUACCAGCUUAACAUGUUAUGGUCAUCUUAUUAAUCAAAUUAUUUUAUAAUUUUUAUUCCUUUUGUCUGAGUAGACUUUCUAUCUAUGCAGCUUGUAGGUACAUGUUUAAAAUGCCAAAUGCCAACCAUCAGGAGGUUGGUUCUCCGUAAUGGAAGGACUUUUUUUAUGCAUGAAAUUAACACACUUGUUACACGAAAAUGAACAAAUUUAUUAACUAAUGCUGUUUCAUUAUUUCUCUUCAAACAAGAAAAAGAAAUAUUUAACUUGAUCGUGUCCUACAUUAUUGAAAUUUGCAGAAUUUUGAGUUGCUAUUUGCUUUUAUUUGAUUUUAAAUAUAGUAUUUAACGAAUAUGAUUGUUAUCUUAGUGAAUUAAAUGGCCGAGUUACAAGUGUAUAUGCUUGGUUAUUUUUUGUAUUUCAAUGAAAUGUGUGAAUUGUUUAUUUUCUGUUUUUUGGAUUUAUAUAUGAAACUUACAGGAUGUGUAAUUUUUACGUAAUCUGGUAAGAUAAUCGUGACAUUGGGUGUUUAUUUAUUCGUCUUUAUGUUGUUUUUGAGCGAUGUAGAUUACUUAUUUCAAACUUCUCUGAUUCAAUACCCAAUUUUCUUCCAGUUUUUUGGAAUUAUAAUUCCACUUGCAUAUGUAAUUACUACUAUUAGGCUAUGGUUCGAAUAUAGUUACAUAAUUCAAUGAAUUGCAUUGAUUUCUUCCUAAUUAAAUGUGGAUAAUUGUUAUUUUUAUUUUUUAAAGAGACAAGAUUAGCUUUUUAUUUGUUUGUUUACAUUCUUUUUUGAGUUAUGCGAGAAAUAUAUUGAAUUUGGAAUUGCAUCAUUUGUUGUUAUACCUGAAAGUGAUAAAUGUACACAAGUCAAGCUUGUGAACAUGAUACGUUCGAAGGUGAUAAUAAAAUUAAAGUGUCAAGUCAAAAAUAGGUCCAAUGAUGAUUUCAGAUACGUAAUCGGUAGCUUUUUAAUUGUAGCUUAAAAUGAUUCACGAGCUUUCUAGUGUGAGUAGAACUUGAACCUCUUUUAAAUAUAGAAGUGAAUGGAUCUUUUCUGAACGAGGUCGGCCCUAAGCCAAGGGCAACUAGGCAAUGGCUUAGGGUCUCAUAUUUAAUGGGGGCCUCCAAAUAAAAACCGUGGUAGAAGUCCAAUUAAAUUAUUAUAAAUUUAAAAGAUGGAUUAGUUAAAAAUUUAUUUAACAAUAAUUUAUUUGGUUGAUUCUAACUUAGUUCAAUCUUAUUUAAAAUAAAUUUUUCUUGAGUUUAGCAUAAAUGAUUAAUUACAAGUUAUCAAACGAGUCUAAUAUUAUUAUGGUAAUAUGAUUUAAUUUGAAAAAUAAUAUUACACAUUCAGUAAUUUACUUUAAUAAGUUAUAAUUUGAAUUUGAUUUAAAAUAAUUUUUUCAUGAGUCCAUAAUGUCCAUAAUAUGAUUUAUUAAAAAUAACUUGAAUUUGCUACUUUAUCUUUUAAAUCGUACCAAGUCUUUGUUUAAAAUGUAAAUAUAUGAUUUAUUUAAAUAUUCAAGUAUUUUUACGAAUGUAAAUUUUCUCUACGUUUAAGGGCCUCAUAAUAAUGAGUUGCUUAGGACCUCAAAAUUCUCAAGGUCGGACAUCAAAAUUCUCUGGGCUGGUAGAACAUGAUUGGGAGUGGGUUAUCAAAUUUUGAAUUUGAUGAUGGACGAGUCACUCUCAAAUUACCGACGAUUGAAGAUGUUGGUUUUAAGGCUAUGUGAAAGGCAUACCAGAUCUCGUGACCGACGCUGUCUUGUUCUUGUUAUAAUGUAUAUAAAUUUUUGAAAUUGUAACGCAUACUAUGUGAUAAUCCUCAUUCUGAGAAUGUAAUUUUUAACUAUUUAAUUUGAAAGUGUUAGUUCAAUUAUAAGUUACAAGGACUGAUAUAGUGGCUGAUUUUUAAAUUUUUCUAUAAUUCAUGUACGAACUAUGUAAUGAGAGCCUCUCCAAUUGUCGUGUAAAAUAGAUAUAAAUUGUGAUUUGGAAUUUUGGAUCAUCAAAGUGAUCAAAAACCACUCCAAUGGAGAGAUGCAAAGGAAAUGCAUAUUGCACAAAUAGAAAACGUUUUUUUUUUUUUUUUUUAAAAAGUACAUUUUUUUCUUUUUUUUUGAAUCCAUUUCAAUCAAACAUUUUUCAAUAAAAUAAUAUUACAUGCAAAUUCAAAAUUUUUCCUUAUUUUCCAUCAAUAUACUAUUCAAAAAUACAUUUUUUGGCAUUUAAAAAAAAAAAAAAUUUUUUUUUUUUUUUUUUUAAAAAGUACAUUUAUAUCUCUUUUUUUUUUUUUUUACAUCCACAAGAGGCAAAAAAUUGAUUUUGAUCUUUUCAUUGUAGCAAAAUUUGAAUUUAAAUCCAACGGAAUGUAAAUGACGAUGCAAAUAUAGUUUUGAAAAUACAAAUUUACACACAAUUUUACACCAAAAUUGAAUACGUUCUAACCAUAUUAGUUCCCAUGCUUUAGUUGUGUAAUUCAUAUUACAAACCAUAAUCAUAUUACAUGAUUGCAUUAUUAGUUUGUUAAUUAUAAAAUUAAAGGUAAUUGUAAUUGCGAUCAGGUGUCUCUCUUUCGCCAAUAAAUACUCGUAUUUAGUGUAAUUUGAAGACAAUUACAAUUUUGAUAAUUUUUUCUCCAUUACAAACUUGAUUCCCAUAUUUUCUCCUCCUCUUAGCAUUACUCCUGCAUUCAAAUUAUAACUGUUCCUUUGACUAACUUGAGCGUUGUAGCGUGCAGCAUCGAAGUCCCCCGCCUCAUUUUUUAUGUUUGGAGAUGCUAUGAUCAUGCGCAUCUAAUGUGUAUAUUCCAAGUGCACAAGUAACAUAUCAGGAGAGAGGAGUAGAGUCAAGAUUUAUUGACGAGCUGUGUCAUUAUUAGAUUCUGAGGUCAGUAAUAAAAGAAAAUAAUGGUGUACUAUAAGUUUGUAACUAGGUUGAAACAAAAAUACUGUCUUGUUGAUUUUAUUUGAUCUCACGAUUAUUGUUUUGCUUCUACUAUUUCUCUUGAUUUGAAUAUAUUGAUAAAUAUUAUAAUUAGAAACAAAGAAAAAAAUGAAAAAGAGAGAGACGCCUACACGGCUCAUGAAAAAAGAGAAGGAAAAAAGAAAAAAGGGAUUAUUGAAGGGAAAAGAAAGAAAAAUUUGACCAGUCAUCUUGAUUUUUCGUGUACCCAUUAACCGCAAUUCACACGUGCCCUAAUACAUGUGAUCAUUAGAAAGUAAAGAAAAAUGGAAAGGAGGAGGGACAUGUGGGUGGUCUUGGUUUUGCGUGUUCAAAUUAGUGAUUGUUUAGAUAUGAAGUCCAAGAAAGAUUCCAUUUGCCUCCUUCAAUAAUCUUUAUUUUCAUACCAAAGUGACCAAUUGCUUUUAGAACUUUUAUUAAAGUAGGGGUUUGAAUUUCAUUCCUCCAUCUUGGAGUCACUUUUCAAUUAAAUUAGUAAAAGUUAAAACUAAAAUUUAUUAUGGUUGUAAAUUAUUUGAUUGCAAUGUAUCAUUAGAUUGCUUGGUGGAACAAGUGAUGAAAAUUACUUAGGAGACAAAAUUUAGUUAUUGUUAUAAUUAUUUUCAAUGAUGAGGUGAAUGACAUGAGCCAUGUUUCAAUUUAAAUAUUUUAACGUUUGAGCGACAAAAUAUACAAUUUCUAUUGUUAUAACUAUUUUCAAUGAUGAGGCGAAUGACAUGAGCCAUGUGUCAAUUUAAAUAAUUUAACUUUUGAACGACAAAAUAUACAAUUUCUAUCAUACGGAAGUAUGCUAGAAAGUUUUUGAUAUGUCGCAUAUUAACUCCAACUCCAGGUGGAAUUUACCCUCGAAGUAGUGGAAGCCUAAAAUUCUUCAAUUUUUCAUGGGAUAAUUACACUAUAAACUCUCAUCUUUCAAAAUUUUACAUUUACUCUCAACUGUGUUUAAUUUUCCAAAUACUGUAAAAUUCACACACACACAAAAAGGUCUAGGAGCACAAGUGACAAAGAGGGAGAAAUUUUUGUGAUCUAAUACUCUGGAUGACAGUAGAGAACUCUAAUGGCAAUGUGUUUAUGUGUCAAUUUGUUUUAUAAGUUUCUAAUUAUUAUUUUCACAAUUCAGUUGUUUUCACCGUGAUAAGGUCAUUGUUCUUCAAUUUCGAACCGGGGUAGGUGCAUUUGAAUCGAAGUUUUGGCAUGUAUGAUAGGAAUGAUGGCUUAAUGAAUUGUGGAUAUGAUUGUAGAUUAGUGAUGGUAGAUUUUAUUGGUUGUGAAGAUUUUAAUAUAUAUUGAGAAUAGAAAAGAGUUCCAUGUUUGAAUCUCAUUCCAUUACAUUCAAUUUUUUCUCUCAUAUUUUCAACUACACAAUAUUUUAUAAAAUAAUAUUACACGUAAAUCGAAAAUAUUUUUUUCUUUUUCAACCACUUAUUUUUUUAAAAAAGCUCUAUUCGACCAAUUUUUAUUUCCAAAAAUGGGGGACAAACGGGGGCUUAAAAGUAAGUAUAGAUUUAGGCAUUGUUUGAACCCCAUUAUUUUCUUAUUAAAAUGAAAAAUAUAACCGUUAUUCAUUACAUCAAAUCACCAUAUUUGACUUUUUAUCUUUUGUGUAGGACCCAUAACAACUAUAUUUUUCAUUCUUAUUUUUACUAUAAUGUAGCUCAAACGGGAGCUCAGUAAACCUUUUAAAGAGUAGGGGGGUCACUGGGAGAAGAAGAUGAUUUAUAUAUAAUUUAUUUUUGAAAAGAUUAGGGACUCUUAAUGCAAAUUUUCCUUUAUUUGUGGGAAACGAAUCCCCUCUGCUGCUAUUAGCCAAAGGAAGUUUUGAUGUCAAUCCUUCAACGAGCUCUUUGCAUUGUGAAUAUUGUUGUAGCAAAGUCACUGCGAUUAAAUGCCAUUUUUAUAUAUUGCAUAAUGAAGGGAUGGGACAUCUCACUCUUUUUUAUUUUAUUUUUUAUGUGUUUAUUUGAAGGGGUAGAUAAAUUCGUUAGUUACUUUGGUUUAUACGAAAUUUAAUGAGAAAGUUCCGGUUCGGUCCCUAUUUUUUUUAAAUUUUGAAAUUUGGAAUAAUAUUUUUUUGAAAAAAGUGUGGUUGAAAAAGAAUGAAAUUUUUUUAAUUUUCGUAUAUUAUUAUUUUAGGAAAGAUUGAGUGAUUGAAAAAAAAAAGAGAAAAAAAAAAAGAGACUGACGUAAUCCUUGAUGUCGGAAAAGAAAAAUAUUAUGAUGAUAAAUUAAUAACAUGAGGCAAAAAUAUGAGACCACAAUGUUAAAAUUGUGGGUCAGGUCCCCACAACCACGCUGGCGAAGAGACUGACGUAAUCCUUGACGUCGGCAAACCAAACUUUACCUUCCCUAUAUAUAUUAACGCGACCGUGCUGGAUCUUCAUCAACUCGCUAAAAGAAGCACAAAUUUGAUCUGAUAAGCAAGAAGAAAGUUAGACAUGGCCGAACAAGUUGAAAUGCCGCGAGUAAAACUCGGAACCCAAGGACUUGAGGUAUGUAAUAUUCUUUUCUUAAUUCAUUCGAUUUAAUUUGUAAAUCCCAUUUGAAUUUUUGUUUUCGGCCGGAUCCAACGACCAGUGACCUUUCUGAAUCAAAUCUCUGCACAACUUUGCACUUGCGUUUCAUCACGGAACGGAGUGAAUUUUGUGGACCUCUUACAUAUUUGUCUGGGUACUGGUAAAUAAGCGUACCAAUUUAAUUAUUAAUUUGUCUGGAUACUGAUAAAGAAGUGGAAAAAAGCCAUUAAAACUGCCCACCCUCCAGGCGCCCCUGUUUCCAAGCCUGUUUUUGGGCCUGUCCCAAAAGCAGGGCUGAAAUAAGCACCUAUUUGUCAUCUAUUUUCUCCUAUUUUUUUCAUUAUUUUUUUUACAGAACUAAUUUUCAACCACAAAUUCUUCAUUAAAAUAACAUUACACGUGAAUAAAAAAAAAUUCAUUUCUUUUUUAAUCACACAUUUCAACAUCAAUUACUAUUCCAUGAUACAUUCUUCCCCAAAUAGUGUACCAGUUUAAUUAUUAACAUAUGGAAAUAAGGUUCAAGAAAAAAGGACAGAGAAUCUGUUAAAAAGCCUGAUGUAAAGUUAUAGAAAUAUUACUUAGAAUUUGAAGAAAAUCCAAUAUUGAAUCACUUGCAGUUGUUUUCUCAAAGAUGGGACACUCAUUUUUGUCCAAAUACUUUUACAUUGAAUAACACAAGAUUCCCACAAUCGACGAUAAUUUGUAUAGGGAUAUGGGUAAUGGGUGCAAAUUGAUCGGCAAAUUCUGCAACCAUUAAUUAGUUUUCUUCAGAUAAUGUUUUCUUGAAUCUUAUUGCGCUUCAUCCAGUGAUAUAUAUUUUUUAUGGCAUGGUAGGUAUCAAAGUUAGGUUAUGGUUGUAUGGGGCUUACUGGAAUCUACAAUGUUCCUGUUCCCGACGAGGAAGGAAUUGCAAUAAUCAAAGAGGCAUUUAGUAAAGGCAUUACAUUUUUUGACACAUCUGAUAUUUAUGGUGCGAACAAUGCCAAUGAAUACUUGGUCGGAAAGGUAAUUUCUAAGAUACUUAUUUUAGAUUAAAGCAGCACACUUGAAUUUAUAUGCUGGCAACAUACUUUUUCUUCUUUAGUGGUUGUAAGAUGAUGGGAACUACAUAUUUAAAUUCCAAUUUCUUCGAUAAACUGCAGCAUGUUAAGGGAUAAAAAUCCCACAUCGGUUAAGUACCGAAAUAUUGAGUAACUUAAAAAGAUUUUGGACUCCUCCUCUUAACAAGGUUGACCUUAUUAAGAUGGACCUCAAAUCUCCAUUAAGCUCCAACCAACGAUUCGAUUCAAUUAUAAAUCUCAAUUAAUGAGCAACGGAUUGUAAGAUUGGUCUGUUCAAACGAGUCACCAUCUUGCGGAAGCAUAUUAAGGGAUGAAAAUCCCACAUCAAUUAAAUAUUGAAAUAUUGAUCAACUUAAAAAAAUCUUGGACUACUCUUCUUAAUAAGAUUGACUUUAUUAAGAUGGAUCCCAAAUUUUAACAUAACACAAGUAUAUGUUAGUAUGGUGCGCAAAAAAAAAAAAAUGGAUUGUAAAUUUAGCUUCUUUUUUUUCUGAACUUAAUUGCAUUUAAUCUAAUUCUGUGCUGCUUUCGGCACUGAAGCUUCCAAGUCACUGACUUGAAAGUUGUAAUGGUUAUGCUGAACAGUAUAUUACUUUUUUUUUUUUUUUUUUUCAUAAAUUUAAAUUCCAAUUUUCAUCAUUUAUAUAAACUAAAGCAUCAAAAUCUGAUAUAUAUGGCCAACUAUAGGUUUUUAGGAUUCUAGGUUUGAUUCAUUUGUAUAGGUUUGUCAUUUGUUUUUCUAGUAUAAAAUCAGGUCUUCCAUUUACUUAUUUGACUCCGCAAUAGUAAUAACUAUAAGAGAAGAGAUUCAAUGGUAAAGAGAAUUAUAGACAUGACAGCUUUCUUGAAUUUAUAUUACAAAGUUACAAUAUGUGGAGAUGCUAUUCUUUGGAAAGGUGAUAUAAAUUUUGUUUUAAGUUACUCUUCAGUUAUAUUUAACUUCAGCUUUCAGUAUCGAACCAUGAGAUAACUGUUGAUUGAAAACAACUAAAAGUAACACAUAAGCAUUUAUUAUCACAUUUGAGUGAACUUACUUAAGACAUUCAAUUGCUGCAGGCAUUAAAGCAGUUACCUCGAGAAAAGGUUGAGUUGGCUACAAAAUUUGGUGUAUUUAAAAUUGGGGGUCCUGAAGUCAUAGUAAAAGGUUCACCUGAGUAUGUCCGUUCUUGUUGUGAGGCUAGCUUGAAGCGUCUUGACGUGGAUUAUAUUGAUCUCUACUACAUACAUCGGAUUGAUCAGACUGUGCCUAUUGAAGAGACGGUUAGUUUUUCUUAUAUACUUUUAUUUGUGAUAUUGUUCUUAUAUAGCCAUUUUGAUUAGUGUCCAUUGACCUCAUUUUCUCUUUUUUGUAUUCGUCUUUCUUAACACGCUUUCUAUAUCACUUAAUAUUACGUUUUGAUGAUAAACUUGUUUAUGAGCUGCAGAUGGGAGAACUAAAAAAGCUAGUUGAAGAAGGUAAAAUAAAAUAUAUUGGGUUAUCUGAAGCUAGCCCAAACACAAUAAGGAGGGCACAUGCAGUUCAUCCUAUUACUGCUAUACAAAUGGAAUAUUCCCUUUGGACUCGUAACAUCGAAGAAGAAUUUAUUCCACUCUGCAGGUUUUAAUUAUUUCUCAAAUAUUUCUAUUAUAAUGCUGAUUGUUCAAAAUAUUACAUUUUAGGCAAAAAAUUUUGGCAAAUCAAAUUUUAAGAGGGUGAAAGCAGAUGUUGGAAUCUCAUAUUUAUUUUUUCACGACAUAAAGUACUUGAUGUCAUUCCUUCUUCAACUAACAUUGCAAUGUUCAGUUCCUAUUCUCCAAUAUAAUAGUUCGCGUUUGUGUACUUCUCUUGUUGAUGUGUUAAACUUGUAUUUUUGAUGGGUUAAAUACAGUCUUACUUAGGGUUUUGAUAAUUAUUGCUUUUGAUGAGGAUGCUAAAAGUUCUUUUCUUUCUUUCUAACAAUUUUUGAAUGCCCCAAUUCAUCUUUUUUCCAUUACUAUUCAUCAAGUAUGUGUAGUUUUUAUCUUAUCGUUCUCCUCCCUGUUCAAUAAUAAUGUUCUCAUAUAGGAUUUCCUUUUCUUUUUGGAAUGGUUUAUUAGGGAACUUGGUAUCGGAAUAGUUCCAUACAGUCCAGUGGGCCGAGGGUUUUUUGCUGGGAAGGCCAUAGUGGAGAGCUUGGCCCCAAGUAGCAGACUGGUUCGUAUGCUUCCUGUCUUUUAAUUUUAGACAUGUAAACUCUACCUUGGAAUCCAAGAUGAUUUAGUAGUUUCUUCAUUUUAGUUAUCUGUACUUGCUGAAUCGUCGCCUGAUUUUUGUACCAUCAGGCACAUCACCCAAGGUUUACAGAAGAGAACUUAGAUAAAAACAAAGUCAUUUAUUUUCGUAUUGAAGCAUUAGCUAAGAAGCAUGGAUGUACUCCUGCCCAACUUGCGCUUGCAUGGGUUCUUCAUCAAGGAGAUGAUGUUGUACCUAUUCCGGGUAAGCCUGUUCAUAUUUAAUUUGCAUUAAAUAUGGUAGGGUUUGAUGAGAGUUUGGCGUACUUAUUUUGUUAUACUUGAAAUAUUGUGAUUACUUGUCAAUGUUGUCAGAGAUUUUAUGCAAAACCGCAUAGUAAUGGAUAGUAACUAAAACAUUUAUUAUCAUAUUCACUCCAUGGAUUGUUUUUAUUUUAACAGUAACAUGCCAUUCAACUUGCAACAUUGUAGGUACGACUAAGAUAAAAAAUCUCCACGAUAAUAUUGGUUCCGUGAAAGUGAAGCUUACAAAAGAUGAUUUAAAAGAGAUCUCUGAUGCAGUCCCCAUCGAUGAAGUGGCAGGGUCAAAAUCUGACAGCGCUAUUGGUCGGGUCAAUGCGCAAUUUGCCGAUACCCCACCCCCAAAAUGAACAUUGCAAGAUUGUUGAUAAAUCUUUGUAUGUUAUGUUUUCAAAUGUGGGCUUCUGAUAUUUGUAACAAUUUUGUCGUAGACAUAUUGCUACUACUCUUGGUUCAAUAAUGCAAGUAAUGUUUCUCUUCAGUCACUAGGGUUGUAUCAUGAACUAUGAAUUAUCGAUAAAUUAUUAGUAAUUUUUUUUUUAAAGAAUAGUUGGUAGAUAAUUCAGUCAGGCGUGGAUUGCAUAUUUUGGCAUGAUAUAUUACACUUUUGUGUCUAUUUAUAUAUUUGUAAUUAAGGCCAUAUGAUCAAUAAAAAAUCUUUAAACAAGUUCUUCAUAAAUUUUCUCCCGAAUAUGGGUAUUUCAUUGUUGUUUACUAGUGACUGAUGCAACUCAAUACUCAUUGACAAUAGCAAAGAAGAAAAAUGGUAAAAUAAAAUGUAGUUCACCACCAUAGUUAUUUACAUUAAUUCCUUUAUCUUGUGCAUUGAACUUUUCAAGUUGCAUUGUUGGGAAGUUGCCAUAAAGAACCAAAAUUAGAAAAGGCAUCAAUUCCUUAAUGGAAUAACGUUGUCCAAGAAUUUUUAGAGAAUGAAUUGAUCAAGCCUUUCGUUACACGAUCAACCACUUUUGAUAUUAUUAAAUGUUUUAGAGAAAAAUCUUAUUUUUCAAAAUAACGCAGAACAAAACUUUUAAUCCACAACGAUUUUUCUCGAAGUGGGCAUUGUUAAACCUUACAAAUUUUGAACCCAUCGUAACGUUGUUUGAUCUAUAGCUCACGCCCUUGCUUAAGCAAUAAAGAGGCUGUUUUAAUUCUUCUCUCUUUCAAAAAGUUAAUCAAAAGAACAAAAAAUAAAAUAUGGGAAUGACACCAAAAAGUAGUUUUCCAUCGUAAUGCUUUUCACAAGUUAUUCCUUUAACAGAUAAGGGCAAGAGGACAUGUGGGGUUGCAGACUAGCCUAAAAAUCCAAUUCAACUUGCUUUUAUGCCAAGUGUAUGGACCUUAUAUAAGGAGAGUGAGUGGUGUCGAAAUCGGUGCUUAGAUACUUCAACAUCAUAGAUGGCCAUGGGCCACCAUUGGAUUGGGUGGAAUUAGUUUUGUUCAUGCUGAUUCAUUAUUGCUCCAAGGAUAAACCAUGACAUUGGCUACUUAAUAAGAAAAAUCGUCAUAAAAUUUUAGUCAAAAAUACUAUGGUAAAUUAAGAUGGAUAUUAUUAUGUGGUUGUCAACUUGCGGUUGCAUGGAUUCUUCAUCAAGGAGACGAUAUUGUACCUAUUUCGGUAAGCCCAUUCAUAUUCUAAUCUUGCUUUAAAGUUUGAUAAGACUUCGGCAUACUUAGCUUGGGAAAUUGUGAUUAGUUAUAUAUAUUUUUAGAAAUUUCACUCGAAUUGAUGAUGAGUGACAUGUAUAUUAUUAUAUUGAUCUCCUAAGUUGUUUUAAUCUUAAUAUUUACAUAUCAUUCGAUCUUGUAAUUAUAGGUACAAUCAAAAUAAAAAAUCUUCAUGAAAAUAUUGAUUCUGUGAAAGUGAAAGUUAAAAAAAUUAUUUUAAAAAGAUAUCUAAUGCAGUCCUUGUCAAUGAAGUGACAGGCAUUGGCGGACCCACGGUGGGUCAAAUGACUCAUUGUGGAUCUUUUGCAAAGUUGAGCGAUCAUUUGGACUAUUAUCCCUUAUUUAUAUAUUUCUACGCGAGGCCAUAUGAGGUCUUUGAAAGAUGUAUGUGAUCAAUAAAAAAAUGAUGGAAAAUAUGCUAUGCAAAAAUUUGUCCAUAGUGGAAGAAUGCAAUUUUUUGGUUUUUUAUUUUUUAUUCAAUGUACAAGGAAUAUUUAAAUUUUAAAGCUCUUCGAAUGAUUAGUUAAACUGAUGUGAUUAUUGUUCGUUAGAUUCUUUAACAUUUUUUUUUUCUGUGAAUUAAUGAUCUAGUUAAAUUAUUCUUUUUUAAUUUUACUUUGUCAUGAAAAGAUUCAUGUUUAGAUUAAGAAUAAUGCUACGUAGCCCGAUGGAGUUGCAAUCCCAAUCUAGUUGGCACUAGAUGAUAGGGUGAAUGAAAUAUAAAAUUAAAUGAUUUAUUUAAUUUCACAUAUUGUUUAAUACUACAUUAACGCCACUAGACUGAGAUUUUAAUUUCAGUGAGACUAAGCAUUACUCUUAAAUUAAAUAGGGCUCUCUCUUUCUCUCUCUCCUUCCACCUUUUAUUCUACUGUUUUUGGAUUUCGUGUUUGCUUUGGUUAAGCUACAUUUCGAUUUUGAUGUUACUUGUUGAAAAAUUUCUAACAUCCUAAGAAUCUUUACAUACUUGAAGUUUCAUAUCUAAAGCGAUGGAGUUCGGAAGAAUUUGAAAUUCUGAUAUGAUUUUAGUAAUAGCAGUGCAAUUUUUUCUACCAUUAUAUAUUCUUUUCUGUUAAUAUGUGGGUGUUUUUUUUCUUUUUUUCAAAACCAUUAAAUUUUGUUCUUGCUUGAAGACAUGUUUACUUUUAUCCAUCACACUGGUUUUCAUUUAGCGAAUAACAGUAUAGUAGAUAACUUAGAAUUUUAUGAUUAGUCUACUAUUGUUAGCAGGGGCGGAGCUGCAUGGAGUCCAAUGUAGGCCACUGCCUGCACUGAACUUUCAGAAAAAACUGGAGCUCUCAUGAAGUUGCCUGGAUUUUGAGAAAACCUGGACAAUUGAUUCUUCAUUUGGGAUUUUGUUUUUAUGGUAUGAUUCUAAGGCCUUUAUUUGAUGAAUCUAAGUCAUUUACCAAUCAAAUGUUUGAAUUCGCUCACCCAUAUAUAUAUAUAUAGACACACGCACACACACGUGUGUUGGCUGUGUAAGUUAAUGAAUGUGAGGGAGCGAGGGGGAGAGAGAGCGAGAGUGCACAAGUGUGUGAAAGAUAGUGAGUGGAGAUAAUUGAGAGAGAGAGCGAGAGGGAGGGCACGUGUAUGUGAAAGUAAGCGAGAGAGUGCACAAGUGUUAGAAAGAUAGUGAGUGGAAAUAAUUGAUAAUUGAUUGCUGUGUAUGUGUGGAGUUUUUUUACACAUUUGAGAUAAAAUUUGUGUUAAGUUUAUUCCUUAAAUAAAAUUCCAUUUGAUUUGGGAUUUAAAUUCAACAUAUGCCUGUGUAAAGAAAUAUAUUAUUGUAUUAAAAAAAAAACCAAUGCACUAACUGGACCAAAAGGAAAUAAUUGAUAAUUGAGUGUUGUGUAUGUGUGGAGUUUAUUUACACAUUUGAGCUAAAAUUUGUGUAAGUUUAUUUCUUAAAUAAAAUUCUAUUUGAUUUGGGAUUUAAAUUCAACAUAUAAAUGUGUAAAGAAAUAUAUUGUUGUAUUAAAAAAAAAAAAAAAAAACAAAUGCACUAACUGGACCAAAAAUUUCCUUUUUAAUUUUACAUGAUCUAAUGGGAGUACACUCCAUUCAAAUCCUCACGUCUCCAUAAUUAGAGCUCAUAUCUAGAUUAAUUACAAAAUAUCUUUCCCUAUUUUAUACCAAACUCGAACCUUCAAACUUUUUUGAGAAUUCAUCUCCAUCUUUAUAUGAAUAUUAAAUCAAAGUCACAAUAGUUUUUUGGUUAAAAAAUUUCAUUGUAGUUGUUCAAAAUCUCAUGUUUUCUUAUGCGCUAGGAUUUAUAAAGAUUAUGCUCAUGUUUUCUUAUGAACCAGGAUUUCCUAAGAUCACGUGAAAUUCUUUUCGUGAAAAGAAUAAUUGACCAAAAAAAUCAUUGUAGUCGAUUUCUAAAAUUACGCCCGCACGCUCAGAAAAAUAUUAAAUUUGCAGACGCAUCAAAAGUGUGAAACCAUGGAAAAAAAAAUUAUUCCUUGGAGUCAAUAAUUAUAUAUGGUGGAUAAUAUUUUAUAGAUUGAAUUCUUUUUGAUUGUCUAUUUUUAAUAAGAGAUAUAAAUAUAGAACAUGUGUCAUAUUUACGUGUGAAGAGAUAUAAAUAUAAAAUGUGUUUCAUAUGUACGUGUGAAGCAACAUAUUAUCAUAGUUAUUAAAAUCGGAUCGGAUGUCCGAGUGAUUUAAUUGAUUAAGCAAGCAUAUGAAUCGGUCAAGAAUCGGUUAAACCAUUAACCAACCCUUUGUACCAAACGAUUUUAGGUGGAACCAGAUCCGGUUCAAUGUGUGAAUCGAAUGGCUACUAAAUUGAAGUAAAAUUUUAUGUUAAAUUUGCUAAAAAGCUUUGUUUCGAACUUUGGCAACAAAGGAGACAUCUUACUCUAUGACCACUAUGGCAACUAAUGGUCCUUAAUCAUCUAAUGUGAGCAAUAUAUAUAUAUAUUAGAUUUCGAAAAAUGGUUUCUUUUUUUCUUUCAAAAAUAUAAUAUAAUUAAAAUUAAAGUCUAAUAAUAAUCCCCCGAUUGAAUUGCUGAUCCACCGAUUGAACCAUUGACUCGAAGAUUUUUUCGGAUCUACCACUGAGCAGUGAGUAUGGUCUAAUAUCUAUGCAUAUUACCAUUGAUGCAAAAUUGACAUGUGGUCUAAGAUAAGAUAAGGAAGAUAUUUAUAGAUAGAAAUUGGCAAGUGGCCUAAAAUAAAAGAAGAUAUUUAUGGAUAGGGUCAAAGUGUCAAGUUUUGAUUUAAUUUGGCCCUUGAUCAAACAUGGAUGAAUACACACCUAUAAAUGAGUGUUACUCAUCAACAUGAUGACGAACAUUUUAUACCCAUAUGAUAUAGAAUUUUGAAUAAAUGAGUUUGUAUCAAAUGAUUUAUUAUUGUUGUUAUUAUUAUUAUUAUUUUUUGGAAAAUACUAAAAAUAAAAUAAAAAAUUCAUGAAUCCUUGCAUAUUUUAUUCAGAGAAUCCAUAAUUGAGAAUGAAUUCAUAAAAAAUAAGUUUUAGAAAAAGGGUACUUACAAGGCUUAAUGUAGCUGAAGAGUCCUUAAGCCCCCAUUGGACCCCUAUUAAUUCUCAUUCUAUUCCAUUUCAUUUUUCUCCCUUCUUCUUUCAACAACACAAUUUUCCAUGCAAUAAUAUUAUACGUAAAUGAAAAAUUUUUCAAAAAAAUACAAUUUUCAUUUACACAAAAUGGGGGCCAAACAGGGACAAAUAAAUGUUUAAUGUCUAAAAAGGUGAAGGCAUGCUACUUGGACAUGGAGGUGUCCAAAUAGGGGGCGAUGUGGCGCCCAUAUCGGCGCAAUAGAUCCAAGAAAACAAAUUCAAAUAAGGGAAUAAUUUGCUUUGGCAUUUAAUCAUGAAGAAACAUGAUAUAUAUCAAUGUCCUACAUUGCCCCCUAUUGGCGCAAUAGAUGCAAGAAGAAAAAUUCAAAAAGGUAAUAGUUUGAUUUGGCAUUUAAUCAUAAAGAAACACGAUAUAUAUCAAUGUCCUAGAAUGAUAUGAAUGCGUUUAAAUAUACACUUAUUUUACAUACCAUCUCAUAUUUAUCAUUUUGAAUAUCGAUAAAAAAGAAUUUAAUAUAAAAGUACCCAUAAUCAUAGAUAUUUUUUUUUGUCAAAUAAGUAAUUUUUAAAAAUAAAAAUACCAUGAUCAUAGAUGUUUUAAUGUCCCUUAAAAAAAAAAAAAAAACUCUUGAGCCUCAUUUUUUUAUUAAAAUAUAUUUUUCAACAGUAUUUGACUCCAGUUCGACUACACAUUAUUUAAUAAAAUAAUUUACAUGUAAAUUCAUGACUUUUUUUAAUCACACAUUUUGAUCCGUACAAUAUUUAAAAAUGCUUCUUCUUUUUUUUUUUUAUUAUAAAAAUAGAUCUAGGGCUAAGUGAAAAGCGAACUCGCUUACGUCAGCCAUGUGUAAUGGUGUCUAUAGAUAGGCUCAAUUGCUGGACACUAGAGCCAUCUCACUGAAAGCAGCACUGUCUAGUUCAAAGAUAGAGAAGAAACUUUCGCAAUGGCUGAACAAAUCGAGAUGCCGCGCGUGAAACUUGGAACCCAAGGACUCGAGGUAUAUGUUAAAUUUGAUUAAUUCAGUUUCGGAUUCGAUUCAAUUUGUAGAUCUGAAUUGAAUUUUUUCUAUACCCUAUAAAACAUGUGAUCUUUCGGUAACCUUACCGAUUAUUGCUUAGAAUCCUAAAAACAACCCAUUUGUUCGUGAAUAAGCUACUGAUUGCGUAUUUAUGACAAAUUUUUACCGUUCUGUUGAGGUGUCUCGCGGUGUUGCGUACGUGGCUGACGGUGCCGGGGAAUUGGCAUUAAUAAGCUAGAAACUCUAGUUCCACAUUUGAUUGUGGUUUCACAACUGUUAUUUAUUAUUUAAACGUUUUGAUGCUUUCAUUUUUUUGGAGCUCUUUGGUUUUGUUUUGCCGUUUAAGUUUGGCCAUAGGACAUAUCACCAAAUUCGUUAAAUCGAUUAAUUUAGUUGGAUAGGUGGUUAACGACUUAAUAAAAGUUGGGUACUUGAAGUUUCACAUUUUGAAAAAUUAAUUGUUUCAAUGGUCGAUGAACUUAGGUCCAUGUCUUUUUUCAUUGGUCACUCAAGUUUAAAAUGUCAAGAUUUGGUUAUUGAACUUAGAUCAAUAUUUUCGAUUGCUCUUCGAACUUAGGUCCAUGUCUUAUAUUUUUCAUUGAAAUUUAAAAUGUCGAGUUUUGACCACUGAAUUUUGGAUUAUACCGUAUGUUACUUAUUAGCUAGCAUAAUUGUUGAAUUUUGAAAAAUAUCAAGUUUACAGUGAAUAAUACACAGCAAUUUUCAAAAUUUAUUGAGUAAUGUACAACAUUUUUCAAAAUUCAUUUGACAAAACUCGAUAUUUUAAACUUCAAUGAGCAAUUGAAGGCAUGAACCUAAAUUUAGUGACCAAAAUUCGACAUUUUUAAUUUCUGUGACCAUUCAAAGACAUGGACUCAAGUUCGGUGACUAUGGGAACAAUUAACUCCACUUUGAAAAUUUGGCUACCAACAGAGUUUUUAAACCCUCUUUAAGACAUGAGAAAUCAGAAAUAUAGUUGAUUAAAGAAAGACGAAGAAUAUACAUAUAGAAUUCUUGCAGACUGAUGUUGUUUGUGCAUUCCCACCCCGCAUUAAGCUCCAGCAAAUUGAUUGGAAGAUAAUGCAAUGAUUCAUUUGUUUUCUUCAAAUAAUACUUUCUUAAAUCUCUUUACUUCAUCCAAUGACUUGUUUUUUCUCUUAGGUAUCAAGGCUAGGUUAUGGUUGUAUGGGGCUUUCAGGUGCCUACGGUAAUCCUGUCCCUGAGGAGGAUGCAAUUGCAGUAAUCAAAGAGGCAUUUAGUAAAGGCAUCACAUUUUUUGACACAUCGGAUGCUUAUGGUCCGGACCAUGCCAAUGAGUACCUGGUGGGGAAGGUAGGUGCUUUACUGAGAUACUUACUCUUGAUCAUGGCAGCACAUUUGAAUUUAUGUGCUGGCAAGAUACUUCUUUUGUCAUCGAAAGUUGAUGUGAACAACAAUAAUGGUAUUCUAUGGCAUCAAGCUGAUCUAAAUAAAGUUCCAUUUCCUUGCGUAUAACUCUGCGAUAAUAAAACAACACGUGGAAAUUUUGUGACAGAAAGAAAAAGGACAGACAGCUUCAUUUCGCGAAUAUAUCCGUUGAAACUUCUUGUGUUUAUUGAAAAUAUUAUUGAACUUAACGUGAUUGAAUUUUUUCUUCAAAAGUUGAGAACAAUAGUUGAUAAAAGUCCAGCUAUCGGCUAUUGUAUCUGUAAGUUAUAUAAAGUGUGUGAUAUUAAAAAAACUGAAUUGGCGAACAAUUAUCUCUUUGAAAAAAAUAUAAUUUUGUCUUUAGAUGAUUCUUGAAGUUAUGUUUAACUUAAAGUUUCCCUUCCUGGCCUCUUAUUAGAUUAUUAUUAAUUCAGAAACCAGUAAAUGUAACCAUAAGCACUUCAUGGUCACCUUUGAGUUGUCUUAACUUAGGGAAUUCAUAUUUUGCAGGCAUUAAAGCAGUUACCGCGAGAAAAAGUCCAAUUAGCUACAAAGUUUGGUGUAGCCGGGUAUGAUGCAUCUGGAGUUAUAGUGAAAGGUUCACCUGAAUAUGCCCGCUCUUGCUGUGAGGCUAGCCUGAAGGUUCUUGGCGU
RNAcentral lists this long non-coding RNA (28086 nucleotides) under Olea europaea (common olive). RNAcentral describes it as "long non-coding RNA (OEUR_LNC010630)". The record is from RNAcentral. Lineage: Eukaryota; Viridiplantae; Streptophyta; Magnoliopsida; Lamiales; Oleaceae.